RNAcentral lists this ribosomal RNA (465 nucleotides) under uncultured Klebsiella sp. RNAcentral's name for it is "bacterial SSU rRNA". It matches the Rfam family "Bacterial small subunit ribosomal RNA", at positions 338 to 795 of the family's 1533-position model. The record is from RNAcentral. Lineage: Bacteria; Pseudomonadati; Pseudomonadota; Gammaproteobacteria; Enterobacterales; Enterobacteriaceae.
CCUACGGGCGGCUGCAGUGGGGAAUAUUGCACAAUGGGCGCAAGCCUGAUGCAGCCAUGCCGCGUGUGUGAAGAAGGCCUUCGGGUUGUAAAGCACUUUCAGCGGGGAGGAAGGCGUUAAGGUUAAUAACCUUGUCGAUUGACGUUACCCGCAGAAGAAGCACCGGCUAACUCCGUGCCAGCAGCCGCGGUAAUACGGAGGGUGCAAGCGUUAAUCGGAAUUACUGGGCGUAAAGCGCACGCAGGCGGUCUGUCAAGUCGGAUGUGAAAUCCCCGGGCUCAACCUGGGAACUGCAUUCGAAACUGGCAGGCUAGAGUCUUGGAGAGGGGGGUAGAAUUCCCGGUGUAGCGGUGAAAUGCGUAGAGAUCUGGAGGAAUACCGGUGGCGAAGGCGGCCCCCUGGACAAAGACUGACGCUCAGGUGCGAAAGCGUGGGGGGCAAACAGGAUUAGAUACCCUUGUAGUC